RNAcentral lists this ribosomal RNA (235 nucleotides) under uncultured bacterium. RNAcentral describes it as "partial 16S ribosomal RNA". It matches the Rfam family "Bacterial small subunit ribosomal RNA", at positions 96 to 334 of the family's 1533-position model. The record is from RNAcentral.
UGGCGGACGGGUGAGUAAUGUCUGGGAAACUGCCUGAUGGAGGGGGAUAACUACUGGAAACGGUAGCUAAUACCGCAUAACGUCGCAAGACCAAAGAGGGGGACCUUCGGGCCUCUUGCCAUCGGAUGUGCCCAGAUGGGAUUAGCUAGUAGGUGGGGUAAAGGCUCACCUAGGCGACGAUCCCUAGCUGGUCUGAGAGGAUGACCAGCCACACUGGAACUGGGACACGGUCCAG